Rosa rugosa (rugosa rose) is the source of this 487-nucleotide long non-coding RNA. RefSeq lists it as uncharacterized. Lineage: Eukaryota; Viridiplantae; Streptophyta; Magnoliopsida; Rosales; Rosaceae. The record is from RefSeq and is a predicted model, not a curated record. The transcript is spliced from 4 exons.
AUCCCUCUAAUCUCUUCCCCACUUGCAAACCAGAAACAAAGUAACUAGAAUUCUUUGGUCAUUCUAAGUACUACAAAUUCCCUCCCCAAGAAUGGGUAAUUUCUAGGGCUUGUGUAUCUUGGGCUCUUUCCUACUAGCACUGUGGCUAAGUCCGUAAGAAAACCCUAAAUCCCAGCUUUCACUUUCGUUCGUUCUCUCAUACGUUCCGCCUUCGAUCUCUCACAGACACGCCCCGCCGAACCAAAGAUGCCUUUCAAGAGGUACGGCGAGGACUACGGCAAGCUCGUCGUCAUCGUCGACAUCAUUGACCAGAACAGAGCCUGUGUUGCAGCUGCUUUACCGCUUAUAUGCAUCAGUGAUGACCAUAGAGAGCACAUCAAAACUAGAUGAUGAGCAGUGGCUUGCUUAUUGGAUUAUUUACUCUUUCCUCACUCUCUCGGAGACGGUUAUCCAACCCAGUUUAGAAUGGUAUAGAGGAGGCAAAGAC